RNAcentral lists this ribosomal RNA (194 nucleotides) under Escherichia coli. Its description in RNAcentral is "partial 16S ribosomal RNA". It matches the Rfam family "Bacterial small subunit ribosomal RNA", at positions 1 to 186 of the family's 1533-position model. The record is from RNAcentral. Lineage: Bacteria; Pseudomonadati; Pseudomonadota; Gammaproteobacteria; Enterobacterales; Enterobacteriaceae.
UUAAAUUGAAGAGUUUGAUCAUGGCUCAGAUUGAACGCUGGCGGCAGGCCUAACACAUGCAAGUCGAACGGUAACAGGAAGCAGCUUGCUGCUUUGCUGACGAGUGGCGGACGGGUGAGUAAUGUCUGGGAAACUGCCCGAUGGAGGGGGAUAACUACUGGAAACGGUAGCUAAUACCGCAUAACGUCGCAAGA